Molecule: long non-coding RNA, 1232 nt
Organism: Tripterygium wilfordii
Lineage: Eukaryota; Viridiplantae; Streptophyta; Magnoliopsida; Celastrales; Celastraceae
Exons: 6
Source: RefSeq, a predicted model, not a curated record
GAAAAAACAGAAAAACAAUAAAUACAAAAAAAUGAAACGUCUUGUACCUAUCGUGCUUCGCUGAAUCUCUCUCUACGAGAUCUUCCUUUGCAUCGAUUGCUUCUCGAUGCAGGUCUCUCUCAAUUUCUUACCAGCUAUCCUUUUCUUCACACAAAGAAAUCGCACAACAAUUCCUUAUCUAGACCAGACUCAAUUGAUUGCAAAACUCAAUCAAACCUCGGAACGAAUCGGUACGGAGUAGUCAGAGAGAGCGAAAUACGAAACAUAUGAUCUAUCGUGAACGUUUUAAGGACUGGUGCUGUGAAUACUGCUAUCGGAUCUGCAUCGCAGAGUUUGGAAUCCAAGCCCUGCAAUCAAGCGCAAGACAAAAGAAAAUGGAAACUAUGUCGAUUUAGAUGUAAAAAAUUAAUGUUUUACGACUAUCAUCGAUGGUAAAUUAGAAGAGGAGCUCCCAAAAGGGCUAAUUCUUGUUAUGCAGCGGGGGAACUUUAGACUGCACAUAUGACUAUAUUUUAUGGUUGGCAAGUGUUUGUGUUUAGUGAUUUUCCUGUGGACAAAGCUAAAGAAGUCAUUCUCUUAGCAUGCAAGGGAAAUGGACAGAGUUGCACAACAUUUUUUUCUUCUUUCGAGAGUGAUAUCACUACUAAACCGGUAGAAGUUUACAGUCUGAGUCCUCCUAAUGUUGCCCAUAAUUUUGGCAAUGAUUUAAAGCAAGUCUAAAUUCAAGCUCCCAGUCAGCAUAUAGUUAGUGGUAAAUGUUCUGCCAAUAGCAAGGAAACUUCCCUGCAAAGGUUUUUGGAGAAGAGAAAAUAUAGCCCUCCAACCUGCAGGGUAUAAUUCUUUAUGGCCAUUUUUGCUGGAUUACUGUGAGAUGCUCCAUACCAAACAAGCAACUCAAAGGCAGGUCUCUCAAAAUUACCAAUUGGAAACAAUUCCUGGCUUGGUUUGGUGGCUCCAUCACCACAGUGAUCUCCAGACUUUUGACAUUAAUAGGCCCCUUACUAUCCUCUUCAGUCACUGCAGCAAUUGAAAAGAAGCUAUUAAUAGUUAUUUUGAUCUCUUUUGUAGUUAUCAAAUUAUAUACCAUGUUAAGCCUUUCAAUUUUCUUCGACCAUCUAGCAUAUAAACUCUGUAUACAUCACUAAUUUGUACGUCUAAUGACAAUGAUGUAAUGAAUUGUCGUUACUAAAGGAGGGAUGACUAACUACUAUUGGGGGUUCUCAUUUCAUAUA